RNAcentral lists this ribosomal RNA (466 nucleotides) under uncultured bacterium. RNAcentral's name for it is "partial 16S ribosomal RNA". It matches the Rfam family "Bacterial small subunit ribosomal RNA", at positions 28 to 507 of the family's 1533-position model. The record is from RNAcentral.
GAUGAACGCUGGCGGCGUGCUUAACACAUGCAAGUCGAACGAUGAAGCCCCGCUUGCUGGGUGGAUUAGUGGCGAACGGGUGAGUAACACGUGAGUAACCUGCCCUUAACUCUGGGAUAAGCCCGGGAAACUAGGUCUAAUACCGGAUAGGAGCGCCUACCGCAUGGUGGGUGUUGGAAAGAUUUAUCGGUUUUGGAUGGACUCGCGGCCUAUCAGCUUGUUGGUGGGGUAAUGGCUCACCAAGGCGACGACGGGUAGCCGGCCUGAGAGGGUGACCGGCCACACUGGGACUGAGACACGGCCCAGACUCCUACGGGAGGCAGCAGUGGGGAAUAUUGCACAAUGGGCGAAAGCCUGAUGCAGCGACGCCGCGUGAGGGAUGACGGCCUUCGGGUUGUAAACCUCUUUCAGUAGGGAAGAAGCGAAAGUGACGGUACCUGCAGAAGAAGCACCGGCUAACUACGUG